GUUUGGUGAUUUAUAUAAAAUUGCCUUAGGAGCCAUUGAAGUAGCUUUGACAGUAAUUAUUAUCCUCCAUGAGUUUAUAUUAAGUGCAACCCUAUGGAUACCCCCAGACAAUAAAGUUCACAUCAUAACAGCCUGGUUACAUAAAGGUGACUAAAAGUUUUCAUUAUAUUACACAGGUUCGAUAAUGUUUAUCGAACCAUAUUAUGGGAAUUCCAAAUAAAAAUGAUAAGUGUAAUGUAAAUUAUGAUCACUUUAAAAUCGUAUGGGAUUUUCCCAAAAUAAAUACCUGAAUUCCCAACCGUUUCAAA
Molecule: unclassified non-coding RNA, 308 nt
Filed under: Hevea brasiliensis (rubber tree)
Lineage: Eukaryota; Viridiplantae; Streptophyta; Magnoliopsida; Malpighiales; Euphorbiaceae
Source: RNAcentral